This 453-nucleotide ribosomal RNA is filed under the name Pandalus japonicus. RNAcentral describes it as "12S ribosomal RNA". The record is from RNAcentral. Lineage: Eukaryota; Metazoa; Arthropoda; Malacostraca; Decapoda; Pandalidae.
AGGUGAAAUUUGGUUGCUCAGGUGUAAUUUAGCUUUGUGUAAAAUUAUUUUGAAGCUAUUAAGUUUUUGGUAUAAAACAGGAUUAGAUACCCUGCUAUACUUUAAUUAAAGUUAGUGACUUGAGUAGUAAAUAGUUAUGUUCUUUAAACUUAAAGAAUUUGGCGGUAUUUUAGUCUUGUUAGAGGAACCUGUUCCGUAAACGAUAUUCCACGAAUGAUCUUACUCUUCUUUGUAGUUCAGUUUGUAUACCGCCAUUAUUAGAUAGUUUUAUAAAAAUUUGUUUUAAUAGUUUGAGUUAAUAUAUUAGGUCAAGGUGCAGCCUAUAGAAGAGCGGGCAAUGGGUUACAUUGUAAUAUGUUGAGACGAAUGGGUAGAGGUAUUUCUGUCUGGAAGGUGGAUUUAAUAGUAAGGUUGUUUUAAUACGGCAGCCUGAUAGUAGCUCUAAAAUAUGUA